AUGCACAAACAGUCCAGGAGGUUCCUGCAGAGCACUGAUGAUAACUUUUUGACACAGGUGGUGGAGAAGCCAACAAGGAGAGGUGUGCUGCUGGACCUUGUACUAACAAACAAAGAAGGACUGGCUGGAGACGUGAAGAUUGGGGGCAGCCUUGGCUGCAGUGACCAUGAGAUGGUGGAGUUUGGGAUCCUGAGAGGAGGAAGCAGGGCACCAAGUAGGAUCGCAACCCUGGACUUCAGGAGAGAACACUUUGGCCUCUUCAGGGAACUACUUGGAGGAAUCCCAUGGGUUAGGGCCCUAGAAGGAAGGGGGGUCCAAGAGAACCGGUUAAUAUUCAAGCAUCACUUCCUCCAAGCUCAAGUUCGGUGCAUCCUUCUGAGUAAGAAGUCAAGCAAAGGAGGGAGGAGACCUGCAUGGAUGAGCAAGGAGCUCCUGGCAAAACUCAACCAGAAGAAGGAAGUACACAGAAAGUGGAAAGGGGGACAGGCCGCCUGGGAGGAAUAUAGGAACGUUGUCAGAGUAUGCAGAGAUGCAAUGAGGAAGGCUAAGGCCCGUUUGGAAUUAAAUCUGGCAAGAGAUGUCAAGGACAGCAAGAAGGGCUUCUUCAAAUACAUCAGUAGCAAGAGGAAGACUAGGGAAAAUGUGGGCCCWUUGCUGAAUGGGGUGGGUGCCCUGGUGACGAAGGAUGCAGAGAAGGCAGAGUUACYGAAUGCCUUCUUUGCUUCAGUCUUUACUGCUCAGGCCAGCCCUCAGGAACCCCAGACCCUGGAGGCAAGAGAGAAAGUCUGGAGAAAGGAAGACUUUCCCUUGGUGGAGGAGGAUUGGGUUAGAGAUCAUUUAAGCAAACCCGACACCCACAGAUCCAUGGGCCCCGAUGGGAUGCACCCACGAGUGCUGAGGGAGCUGGCGGAUGUUAUUGCUAGGCCACUCUCCAUCACCUUUGAAAGGUCAUGGAGAACAGGAGAGGUGCCUGAAGACUGGAAGAAAGCCAAUGUCACCCCAGUCUUCMAA
RNAcentral lists this long non-coding RNA (1011 nucleotides) under Apteryx haastii (Great spotted kiwi). RNAcentral's name for it is "lncRNA (ENSAHAG00000007323.1)". Lineage: Eukaryota; Metazoa; Chordata; Aves; Apterygiformes; Apterygidae. The record is from RNAcentral.